Molecule: ribosomal RNA, 883 nt
Filed under: Acinetobacter baumannii
Lineage: Bacteria; Pseudomonadati; Pseudomonadota; Gammaproteobacteria; Moraxellales; Moraxellaceae
Description: bacterial SSU rRNA
Rfam family: Bacterial small subunit ribosomal RNA
Source: RNAcentral
CACAUGCAGUCGAGCGGGGGAGGUAGCUUGCUACCGGACCUAGCGGCGGACGGGUGAGUAAUGCUUAGGAAUCUGCCUAUUAGUGGGGGACAACAUCUCGAAAGGGAUGCUAAUACCGCAUACGUCCUACGGGAGAAAGCAGGGGAUCUUCGGACCUUGCGCUAAUAGAUGAGCCUAAGUCGGAUUAGCUAGUUGGUGGGGUAAAGGCCUACCAAGGCGACGAUCUGUAGCGGGUCUGAGAGGAUGAUCCGCCACACUGGGACUGAGACACGGCCCAGACUCCUACGGGAGGCAGCAGUGGGGAAUAUUGGACAAUGGGGGGAACCCUGAUCCAGCCAUGCCGCGUGUGUGAAGAAGGCCUUAUGGUUGUAAAGCACUUUAAGCGAGGAGGAGGCUACUUUAGUUAAUACCUAGAGAUAGUGGACGUUACUCGCAGAAUAAGCACCGGCUAACUCUGUGCCAGCAGCCGCGGUAAUACAGAGGGUGCGAGCGUUAAUCGGAUUUACUGGGCGUAAAGCGUGCGUAGGCGGCUUAUUAAGUCGGAUGUGAAAUCCCCGAGCUUAACUUGGGAAUUGCAUUCGAUACUGGUGAGCUAGAGUAUGGGAGAGGAUGGUAGAAUUCCAGGUGUAGCGGUGAAAUGCGUAGAGAUCUGGAGGAAUACCGAUGGCGAAAGCAGCCAUCUGGCCUAAUACUGACGCUGAGGUACGAAAGCAUGGGGAGCAAACAGGAUUAGAUACCCUGGUAGUCCAUGCCGUAAACGAUGUCUACUAGCCGUUGGGGCCUUUGAGGCUUUAGUGGCGCAGCUAACGCGAUAAGUAGACCGCCUGGGGAGUACGGUCGCAAGACUAAAACUCAAAUGAAUUGACGGGGGCCCGCACAAGCG